ACUUCUGGUCCUCUUAAUUAUGAACACUCUAAAAUAGAUAUACCUGAUUCACGAUAUAUGAAUAAUUCCUCUUUGAAAAUAUCAUAGGAACCUAUCAUAUUAAAGCAAAAGCGCUUUCACUAAGAAAAGUAUGAACUUCGACUUUGGAGUCCCUUUACAAUGAUAUAAAAUAGUUUGUGUUACUGAAAUCAUGAGAGAUAUUGAAACAAAUACACGGAAUGUUGCACAGAAAUUGCGGACCUAGCCGCGGGUAUGUGCUAGUAAUGUAAUACAUAUCAAUUCAGUCUGAGUUAAUAACUAUCUGAGCAUAAGUUAAAUUAAUUAAAGUUAUUUGUUUGUAUGCAAUUAUGAUAUUUCCACUUACACAAGUUUAUAAAUAAGAAGAUUGGUGAAAAUCGUAUUCUGUGUGUGGUACACAUAAUUAUAGACAGUUUAUAAGUUAAAUAUUUAACAUUAAAAUAAAUAAAAAAGUUUAAAUCGUAGUUAUAAUAUAACUUAUAUAAUAUUAUUUUCUGGUUAGAAAAUUACUACAUUCAUCACAGUCACUAUAUUUAGGUAUGUAGUUCGUUAUACAAAUGUGGAAAUAAAAGAGCCUAUGCGUAGUAAAUAACGUAACUUCACUCUAUAAACUUGCCGCGAGAACGUCUUAGUUUGUUACGUACCGCAACCAAUUACAAGUUAAAAAUAUGAUUUAAUUAUUUUCAAAAUAAACGACCGUACCCACAGAUUUUAAAACUCCGCAGAGUGUGAAAGAUGCCGAGAUAGUCAUAAUGAGAGAUAAAAGAUAGCCGUGGCAUGAAUGAGAUUGUAGAAGUUGCGAAGGACUCCGCCAGCGCUAGAUCGCGCUGGAAUCGUUCUGGAGCUACUGGCGCGUGAAGCUCGGCUCGACAAUCACGACGGCAGUGGCAGUGGCUGCAGCAACAACGAGCCGCAUGAUUCAGUCGGCGUCCUCAUGCCGCGACGAUAAGAUCAGCUGAUAGUUCCAGUCAACGUCAGAUGUUUAUUGCUCGGCACCUGUUGUUCGUAGUCAGUGAUAAACUAACGUAACCCGCGCGCGGCUGAAUUAACUAACUCUAGUUUACGUACGUUAGAGCAGGAUUUUUAAUUAGUGUUUACCGUUAGUGAAUAAGCAAUGAGGUUAUUUGCAUUGUGGUGUUUAAUUUGUGAGACGCGGGUGCGAGUUGGUUCUUUGUGUUGUGUGUAGUUGUAUUUGUCUCUACUUACUUACGCUACGUUGGCAAAACGACAUAAGGCGAGACAGAGAUAAUUUGAUUUGAUAACUGGCGGAUCAGCAAGUCAAAAGUAUGACGAGCCGGAAGGCUUUGGCGCUGUCAUUGCUCUUGUGAUAGAUACGGUAAUGGACAACAGCGGCGGAACCGGGAGUGGGAGGACGAUAUCUCAAGGGCUGUGACUGUAACUGACUGUCCAGUUGUCUCUUAUCAGUGCGACGUGAGUGCCAUUGUGAGUGAGUGACAUUCCACAGCAGAUAGUAUGGCAUAACACGAAUUUAGUCAUCAGGCUAUGGCGUACCGUGGACUCAGCAGGCACGUGGACCUGGAAGCUUGCCCUGAGCCCGGUACCCGGUUCACCCUCCAGGAGCUGAUAGGCGAGGGGACAUACGGCGAGGUCUACAGCGCCCGGGACACUACUACUGGUGAGUACCCUGAAACAUGCUCUAGUCUAUAUGUAGUUGUGUAAUAAAGGUUAUAAAAAGGAAUACUGAUAAAUAAUGACACCUU
RNAcentral lists this long non-coding RNA (1739 nucleotides) under Homalodisca vitripennis (glassy-winged sharpshooter). Its description in RNAcentral is "uncharacterized LOC124354865". The record is from RNAcentral. Lineage: Eukaryota; Metazoa; Arthropoda; Insecta; Hemiptera; Cicadellidae.